Molecule: microRNA, 21 nt
Filed under: Raphanus sativus (radish)
Lineage: Eukaryota; Viridiplantae; Streptophyta; Magnoliopsida; Brassicales; Brassicaceae
Description: rsa-miRn10
Source: RNAcentral
GCGUCCCCGACAUGGUCGUCU